This 245-nucleotide ribosomal RNA is filed under the name uncultured bacterium. RNAcentral's name for it is "partial 16S ribosomal RNA". It matches the Rfam family "Bacterial small subunit ribosomal RNA", at positions 524 to 768 of the family's 1533-position model. The record is from RNAcentral.
UACGUAGGGUGCAAGCGUUGUCCGGAAUCACUGGGUGUAAAGGGAGCGCAGGCGGGUUGGUAAGUCCUUGGUGAAAUCCUGAGGCUUAACCUCAGGGCUGCCACGGAAACUGCUGACCUUGAGUACAGAAGAGGAAGACGGAAUUCCUGGUGUAGCGGUGAAAUGCGUAGAUAUCAGGAAGAACACCGGUGGCGAAGGCGGUCUUCUGGUCUGUUACUGACGCUCAUGCUCGAAAGCGUGGGGAG